Oreochromis aureus is the source of this 474-nucleotide long non-coding RNA. Lineage: Eukaryota; Metazoa; Chordata; Actinopteri; Cichliformes; Cichlidae. The record is from Ensembl.
AAAAAGCAGUAAUCUGCUGUCACUCAAAAACACAAUGUCCAAUCUCUCCCAAAGGUCGCAGGCGUGAUGAGACUCGAGCUCGGAAAUGUUUGUUAUGCCAUUUGUCAGUAAUGGUUAGAGCGCCACCUAGUGGGACGACUAUAAUAAUGGUUGAAUGAGAUGAAAUUUUAGCUGGUGGUUAAAUGCAUGAAUUCCAUCAAUGUGACAUCAGAUCGGAAGCGCUGGUUUUAGGUGUUGGGCUUGGCUCGACGCGCCGGGGUGCGAGGGCCCUCAUAUCGCUGCUUGCAGCUUUAAUUAUUAUUAUUAUUAUUAUUUCGGCAAAUGAAUCGGCCUUUUGAGGGCCUAAACAUGCUCGAAAACUCAUGAAAUUUUGCAGACUCGUCAGGUCUGGUGAAAAUUUACGUAUUUUAAUGUCCGUAGACAUGUCCAGGGAAAAUUGGCUCAGUAGCGCCACCUAGAAAAAUGAGAAACGCG